AUGCUAUAGUAAUCUAUCCCUUAACUACUUUCUGUGAAUGUGUGUGUCUUAAAGCUA
Molecule: unclassified non-coding RNA, 57 nt
Filed under: Yarrowia lipolytica
Lineage: Eukaryota; Fungi; Ascomycota; Dipodascomycetes; Dipodascales
Source: RNAcentral